RNAcentral lists this ribosomal RNA (253 nucleotides) under uncultured bacterium. Its description in RNAcentral is "partial 16S ribosomal RNA". It matches the Rfam family "Bacterial small subunit ribosomal RNA", at positions 524 to 776 of the family's 1533-position model. The record is from RNAcentral.
UACGAAGGGGGCUAGCGUUGCUCGGAAUCACUGGGCGUAAAGCGCACGUAGGCGGCUUUCUAAGUCAGGGGUGAAAUCCUGGAGCUCAACUCCAGAACUGCCUUUGAUGCUGGAGAGCUUGAGUCCGGGAGAGGUGAGUGGAACUCCGAGUGUAGAGGUGAAAUUCGUAGAUAUUCGGAAGAACACCAGUGGCGAAGGCGGCUCACUGGCCCGGUACUGACGCUGAGGUGCGAAAGCGUGGGGAGCAAACAGG